UCCCUGGAGGACUAGCGGUGAGGCCACAGCGUUCUCACUGCCGCGGCCUGGGUUCAAUUCCCGGCCAGAGAA
Non-coding RNA from Pangasius djambal, 72 nucleotides. The record is from the annotation of a GenBank genome assembly. Lineage: Eukaryota; Metazoa; Chordata; Actinopteri; Siluriformes; Pangasiidae.